AAACAGUAUGUGCCACACCUUGCGUGCAGUUGUGUGUGGGUGCCCGUUGAGCAUGUGUGUGCCGCUGACAUGCCUGGCUGGUGAGAGGGGACCCCUGGGCCCCAGCUGCCCCGACAGAACAGGCCUGCCUCUUCCGGUGUGAACAGGGGAGCCUGGUGAACACGCUGCGGGAGGUGGAGCCCACAUCGCACAUGGGGGUGCCCCGGGUGUGGGAGAAGAUCAUGGAGCGCAUCCAGGAGGUGGCGGCUCAGUCUGGUUUCAUCCGGCGCAAGAUGCUGCUGUGGGCCAUGUCGGUGACCUUGGAGCAGAACCUCACCUGCCCUGGCAGCGACCUGAAGCCCUUCACAACCAGACUGGCAGAUUACCUGGUGCUAGCCAAGGUCCGCCAGGCACUGGGAUUUGCCAAGUGUCAGAAGAACUUCUAUGGAGCGGCCCCCAUGACGGCAGAGACACAGCGCUUCUUCCUGGGCCUCAACAUCCGCUUGUAUGCGGGCUACGGCCUCAGUGAGACCUCAGGCCCCCACUUCAUGUCCAGUCCCUACAACUACCGGCUGUACAGCUCAGGCAAGGUGGUGCCCGGCUG
RNAcentral lists this small RNA (583 nucleotides) under Pongo abelii (Sumatran orangutan). Its description in RNAcentral is "retained intron". Lineage: Eukaryota; Metazoa; Chordata; Mammalia; Primates; Hominidae. The record is from RNAcentral.